This 327-nucleotide ribosomal RNA is filed under the name uncultured eukaryote. Its description in RNAcentral is "partial 18S ribosomal RNA". It matches the Rfam family "Eukaryotic small subunit ribosomal RNA", at positions 1470 to 1796 of the family's 1831-position model. The record is from RNAcentral.
CCCUUAGAUGUUCUGGGCCGCACGCGCGCUACACUGAUGAAUGCAACGAGCUCUACCCUUGACCGAAAGGCCCGGGUAAACUUGUGAAACUUCAUCGUGAUGGGGAUAGAUUAUUGCAAUUAUUAAUCUUCAACGAGGAAUUCCUAGUAAGCGCGAGUCAUCAGCUCGCGUUGAUUACGUCCCUGCCCUUUGUACACACCGCCCGUCGCUCCUACCGAUUGAGUGGUCCGGUGAAAUCUUCGGAUUGCUGACCAAGAUCCAGCAAUGGAGCUUGGUUGCGAGAAGUUGAUUAAACCUUAUUAUUUAGAGGAAGGAGAAGUCGUAACA